AUUGAACGCUGGCGGCAGGCCUAACACAUGCAAGUCGAACGGUAACAGAAAGCAGCUUGCUGCUUUGCUGACGAGUGGCGGACGGGUGAGUAAUGUCUGGGAAACUGCCUGAUGGAGGGGGAUAACUACUGGAAACGGCAGCUAAUACCGCAUAACGUCGCAAGACCAAAGAGGGGGACCUUCGGGCCUCUUGCCAUCGGAUGUGCCCAGAUGGGAUUAGCUAGUAGGUGGGGUAACGGCUCACCUAGGCGACGAUCCCUAGCUGGUCUGAGAGGAUGACCAGCCACACUGGAACUGAGACACGGUCCAGACUCCUACGGGAGGCAGCAGUGGGGAAUAUUGCACAAUGGGCGCAAGCCUGAUGCAGCCAUGCCGCGUGUAUGAAGAAGGCCUUCGGGUUGUAAAGUACUUUCAGCGGGGAGGAAGGGAGUAAAGUUAAUACCUUUGCUCAUUGACGUUACCCGCAGAAGAAGCACCGGCUAACUCCGUG
RNAcentral lists this ribosomal RNA (490 nucleotides) under uncultured bacterium. Its description in RNAcentral is "partial 16S ribosomal RNA". It matches the Rfam family "Bacterial small subunit ribosomal RNA", at positions 30 to 507 of the family's 1533-position model. The record is from RNAcentral.